This 465-nucleotide ribosomal RNA is filed under the name Vreelandella stevensii. RNAcentral's name for it is "partial 16S ribosomal RNA". It matches the Rfam family "Bacterial small subunit ribosomal RNA", at positions 338 to 795 of the family's 1533-position model. Lineage: Bacteria; Pseudomonadati; Pseudomonadota; Gammaproteobacteria; Oceanospirillales; Halomonadaceae. The record is from RNAcentral.
CCUACGGGUGGCAGCAGUGGGGAAUAUUGGACAAUGGGGGGAACCCUGAUCCAGCCAUGCCGCGUGUGUGAAGAAGGCCCUCGGGUUGUAAAGCACUUUCAGUGAGGAAGAACGCCUGGUGGUUAAUACCCAUCAGGAAAGACAUCACUCACAGAAGAAGCACCGGCUAACUCCGUGCCAGCAGCCGCGGUAAUACGGAGGGUGCGAGCGUUAAUCGGAAUUACUGGGCGUAAAGCGCGCGUAGGUGGCUUGAUAAGCCGGUUGUGAAAGCCCCGGGCUCAACCUGGGAACGGCAUCCGGAACUGUCAAGCUAGAGAGCAGGAGAGGAAGGUAGAAUUCCCGGUGUAGCGGUGAAAUGCGUAGAGAUCGGGAGGAAUACCAGUGGCGAAGGCGGCCUUCUGGACUGACACUGACACUGAGGUGCGAAAGCGUGGGUAGCAAACAGGAUUAGAUACCCCGGUAGUC